GUCGUUGGUCUGAGAGGACGACCAGCCACACUGGAAUUGAGACACGGUCCAGACUCCUACGGGAGGCAGCAGUGGGGAAUUUUGGACAAUGGGCGAAAGCCUGAUCCAGCAAUGCCGCGUGAGUGAAGAAGGCCUUCGGGUUGUAAAGCUCUUUUGUCAGGGAAGAAACGGUGAGGGCUAAUAUCCUUUGCUAAUGACGGUACCUGAAGAAUAAGCACCGGCUAACUACGUGCCAGCAGCCGCGGUAAUACGUAGGGUGCAAGCGUUAAUCGGAAUUACUGGGCGUAAAGCGUGCGCAGGCGGUUUUGUAAGUCUGUCGUGAAAUCCCCGGGCUCAACCUGGGAAUUGCGAUGGAGACUGCAAGGCUAGAAUCUGGCAGAGGGGGGUAGAAUUCCACGUGUAGCAGUGAAAUGCGUAGAGAUGUGGAGGAACACCGAUGGCGAAGGCAGCCCCCUGGGUCAAGAUUGACGCUCAUGCACGAAAGCGUGGGGAGCAAACAGGAUUAGAUACCCUGGUAGUCCACGCCCUAAACGAUGUCUACUAGUUGUCGGGUUUUAAUUAACUUGGUAACGCAGCUAACGCGUGAAGUAGACCGCCUGGGGAGUACGGUCGCAAGAUUAAAACUCAAAGGAAUUGACG
Molecule: ribosomal RNA, 639 nt
Filed under: uncultured beta proteobacterium
Lineage: Bacteria; Pseudomonadati; Pseudomonadota; Betaproteobacteria
Description: SSU rRNA
Rfam family: Bacterial small subunit ribosomal RNA
Source: RNAcentral